RNAcentral lists this long non-coding RNA (1376 nucleotides) under Capra hircus (goat). RNAcentral's name for it is "lncRNA (ENSCHIG00010012784.1)". Lineage: Eukaryota; Metazoa; Chordata; Mammalia; Artiodactyla; Bovidae. The record is from RNAcentral.
UCACCCCGUGGGCUCUGGUUCGCAGGGACAGUGUGACGUCCCAGCGCCCAUGUUUGUUAGCUGAGAGUCACAGACCCCACCGCACCCCUAACCCCAGCCGCCACCUGCCUGGUUCCUGUGACUAUAAGUCUGUCUGUUUCCAAAGGCCUCCGGCCUUCACAGCUCGUGGCCCCUUGAGAUUGAGUGUUUGCAUCAGCAUGAUGCCCCUAGGGACCACCUAUGCGCUUGUCAACAGUUUCUUUAUUUUAUUGAUAAAAGCCUCCCAUGGGGUUCACAGACGACUGUGUAUGUAGCCAUCACCAGUGAGGAAUGUUUUAGUUUCCAGUUUUGCCAUGAGAGCUAAGGCUCCCGUGAACAAUGCAAGCACACACGUGUGUAUGCGUGUGCAGACGUGAGUUUUCACUUUUCUGGGAUGAAUGCCUGGGAGUGUGAUACUGGGUCCCAGGGUAAGUGUAUGCUUAGUUUUUUUAAAUUUUUUUAAGAAACUGCCAAGCCAUGUUCUGGCGUGGUCGCCCCUUCUGCAGUCCCGCAGCAGUGUGCUUGUGUGAUCACCAGCCUGUGGCGUCGUCAAUAUUUUUCAUUUCCGCUGUAUUAACAGGAGCGCGGCCGUAUCUCGCGAUCGCCCCCACAGGCGCCCUCCGACCGCUGCCGCGCUGGCCGUCUUACACGGCUCGUUGGCCGCCCGUGUCUCCCCUUCCUGACCUGCCUUCUGCCCAUUUUGUCUCUGUGGGGUCGAGUUCUGAGCGCUCUUUUUAUCUUCUGAACGUGAGUCGUUUGUCAGAGACACGAACUGCAGAUACUUUCCCCUAACCGGUCGCUUAUCUUUUCGUCCUCUUUAUGGGAGCUUCUGCAGGGCAAGAGUUUCAGAUCUUAAUGAUUAAAAAUCGAAAGCGGCACGCUUCUGAUGUUGCAUCUCAGAGCUCGGCCGAGUCCAGAAGGCCUUCUUCUGUCUCUGCUUGUGAAAGUUUUCGGUUUUAUAUUGUUUAACUCUGGGAUCCAGUGUGAGUGAGUGUUUUAAGGAGGUGGUGUGAGGCUCAGGUCGAGGGCCUGGGUGCCUAAUUGUUCCAACCGGUGGCUUUGUUUAGAAGACUCUGCNNNNNNNNNNUCUGCGGCCCGGCUGGUGUCUUCCCGUGUGUGCGGCCGUGUGUGGGCCCCGUUCCGCUCCCCUCGCUGGGUGUCCACCUCCCCAGCAUCCCUUCUGAACCACAGCAACUUUGCCGUAAGUUGGUGUGAUUCCUCCAACCAAAGUCUUAAAAAAAUUUUUUUUAAUUAGCUAUGCGAGCUCUUUUACCUUCCCUACAAAUUUUAGAAUCUAUUUCUACCAAAAAAAAAAAGUUUUCCUGUGUUUUCAAAGGAACUGUGUUAAACGUAUAUAG